UACAGAGGGGGCAAGCGUUGUUCGGAAUUACUGGGCGUAAAGGGCGCGUAGGCGGCCUGUUAAGUCGAACGUGAAAUCCCCGGGCUCAACCCGGGAACUGCGUCCGAUACUGGCAGGCUUGAAUCCGGGAGAGGGAUGCGGAAUUCCAGGUGUAGCGGUGAAAUGCGUAGAUAUCUGGAGGAACACCGGUGGCGAAGGCGGCAUCCUGGACCGGCAUUGACGCUGAGGCGCGAAAGCCAGAGGAGCAAACGGG
This 253-nucleotide ribosomal RNA is filed under the name uncultured bacterium. RNAcentral describes it as "partial 16S ribosomal RNA". It matches the Rfam family "Bacterial small subunit ribosomal RNA", at positions 524 to 776 of the family's 1533-position model. The record is from RNAcentral.